RNAcentral lists this ribosomal RNA (748 nucleotides) under Marinomonas sp. enrichment culture clone MS1-12. RNAcentral describes it as "bacterial SSU rRNA". It matches the Rfam family "Bacterial small subunit ribosomal RNA", at positions 8 to 745 of the family's 1533-position model. Lineage: Bacteria; Pseudomonadati; Pseudomonadota; Gammaproteobacteria; Oceanospirillales; Oceanospirillaceae. The record is from RNAcentral.
AGAGUUUGAUCAUGGCUCAGAUUGAACGCUGGCGGCAGGCUUAACACAUGCAAGUCGAGCGGUAGCACAGAGAAACUUGUUUCUUGGGUGACGAGCGGCGGACGGGUGAGUAACGCGUAGGAAUCUGCCUGGUAGUGGGGGACAACAUGUGGAAACGCAUGCUAAUACCGCAUACGCCCUACGGGGGAAAGGAGGGGAUCUUCGGACCUUUCGCUAUCAGAUGAGCCUGCGUGAGAUUAGCUAGUUGGUGGGGUAAAGGCUCACCAAGGCGACGAUCUCUAGCUGGUCUGAGAGGAUGAUCAGCCACACUGGGACUGAGACACGGCCCAGACUCCUACGGGAGGCAGCAGUGGGGAAUAUUGGACAAUGGGCGCAAGCCUGAUCCAGCCAUGCCGCGUGUGUGAAGAAGGCCUUAGGGUUGUAAAGCACUUUCAGGAGUGAGGAAGGGUGUACGGUUAAUACCCGUAUAUUUUGACGUUAACUCCAGAAGAAGCACCGGCUAACUCUGUGCCAGCAGCCGCGGUAAUACAGAGGGUGCGAGCGUUAAUCGGAAUUACUGGGCGUAAAGCGCGCGUAGGCGGUUUGUUAAGUCGGAUGUGAAAUCCCAGGGCUCAACCUUGGAAUGGCACCCGAUACUGGCAGGCUAGAGUACGGUAGAGGGGUGUGGAAUUUCCUGUGUAGCGGUGAAAUGCGUAGAUAUAGGAAGGAACAUCAGUGGCGAAGGCGACACCCUGGACCGAUACUGACG